UACACUUUAGUAUAAAUGUAUAAAAAUUUUUGGUGUUUUAGGAAGCAAUUUAUUUUGCUAAGUGUAU
This 67-nucleotide transfer RNA is filed under the name Trigonopterus sp. 1 AH-2016. RNAcentral's name for it is "tRNA-Gln". Lineage: Eukaryota; Metazoa; Arthropoda; Insecta; Coleoptera; Curculionidae. The record is from RNAcentral.